CGAAAGUUAGAGGUUCGAAGGCGAUCAGAUACCGCCCUAGUUCUAACCAUAAACGAUGCCAACCAGCGAUCCGCCUGAGUUCCUCAAAUGACUCGGCGGGCAGCUUCCGGGAAACCAAAGUGUUUGGGUUCCGGGGGAAGUAUGGUUGCAAAGCUGAAACUUAAAGGAAUUGACGGAAGGGCACCACCAGGAGUGGAGCCUGCGGCUUAAUUUGACUCAACACGGGAAAACUUACCCGGCCCGGACACUGGAAGGAUUGACAGAUUAAGAGCUCUUUCUUGAUUCAGUGGGUGGUGGUGCAUGGCCGUUCUUAGUUGGUGGAGCGAUUUGUCUGGUUAAUUCCGAUAACGAACGAGACUCUAGCCUACUAAAUAGGCGUUCCGAUCAUUCAUGUCGGACGUUCUUCUUAGAGGGACAAGCGGCUUUUAGCCGCACGAGACAGAGCAAUAACAGGUCUGUGAUGCCCUUAGAUGUCCGGGGCCGCACGCGCGCUACACUGAAGGAAUCAGCGUGUGCUUUCCCUGUCUGGUAGGACUGGGUAACCCGUUAAACCUCCUUCGUGAUAGGGAUAGGGGCUUGUAAUUGUUCCCCUUGAACGAGGAAUUCCCAGUAAGCACGAGUCAUAAGCUCGUGUUGAUUACGUCCCUGCCCUUUGUACACACCGCCCGUCGCUACUACCGAUUGAAUGAUUUAGUGAGGUCUUCGGACUGGCGCUCGUAGCGACCGUUUGGCCGCGCCGACGUGCCGGAAAGAUGACCAAACUUGAUCAUUUAGAGGAAGUAAAAGUC
This 788-nucleotide ribosomal RNA is filed under the name Sardostalita patrizii. RNAcentral's name for it is "SSU rRNA". It matches the Rfam family "Eukaryotic small subunit ribosomal RNA", at positions 984 to 1790 of the family's 1831-position model. The record is from RNAcentral. Lineage: Eukaryota; Metazoa; Arthropoda; Arachnida; Araneae; Dysderidae.